GGCCUUCUCGUCUCUGCGCGUGGGUGUUUCGGCGCGUGUGCCGUUGCCCGGCCAGGCCCUUGCGGCAGGUCGACGUCGCACGUCGCUGGAGACUCCCCUGGUGGCCAUACAUGGAUGCGGCAGAGGGCUCUGCUUCCUCAUUAGAUUAAAUUUUGGUGUUGCAUUGUUGAGCACUUCAUGUGAAUGUUCUCUAGUCUCUAUUGUGCAGGGGGUUCUACUCUCCCUCUUGAGGCAAGUGUGGAUGUAAUGGAUAUUGAUUGUGGUUGUUUGGACAAAAAUAUUGCGUGCAAACAUUAUUGAGUACUGAUGGUGAGAUUUCCAAUUCCUUUAUCUUUUGUCCGUUUAAUCAAGAACAAUGUUUAGAGCUUACAUGGCUGUCCAAAUUUAGUUCUGUAAGAGAAAUAUUGAUGUCAUGCAAUGUUUAGUGUGGAGUAGGGCAGUUAUUUUUACAGAGCUGUUCCUCAGUUCUCAUUGAGCAAAGAUUGAAUGCGUGUGAUUUGAUCUACUACCAAGUCAAUCUUGGUCCACAUUGUCGGAGUUUUCUUAUUAAGUCUUUUUGUUGCUAUUAGUAUUUUCAUUUAUGCAGAGGGGCCGGGUAUAAUGCUUAAACCUUUUAAGUAAUAAAGCGCCCUUCAUUGAAAAAUAAUAGUAUUUUCAUUUAAACUGGAAGUUUAUGUGAAGAAGCUGUGUUGAAAUGUAUGAGUUUGUUUUCCUAUUUUUUUUUGGAAGAAUGAGACUAUCAGGAACAGUAUCAAGUUUGUAGCUGCUCAUCGUCUCAUCCAUAAAAAAGGUUUAGCUGCUCACGUAAUAUUCACACAUCAUUGGUGGCAUGUCAGUGGCAGGCGGAAGGAAGCUUUUUGACACAUCUCAUUUUUCUAGCAACUACAAGAAAUCAGUGAAGCAGUAGGAAGUAGGAACACAGUCCAGAAGAUUAUCUGAUGACAUGAUAUGCUACCAGAUGCCUUUUAGUGCGUAACAAAUGUAACUUCUUCUCCAACAAAAAUAAUAAUUAGAGGCAAAAAUAAUAAUGAAGCUUCUUGAGUACCAUCCCGAGAUACAUAUUUUAUUCCAUUAGAAAAUACAACUAUAUUUUGUUACAUUUAGGUCAUGUUAUAUCGUGCAUGUGUGUUACAGGUGUUUCUCUCUACUUUGUGCUCCAGAUUUGCUUUCCCUACAAUAUGGCAGAUUAAUGUAUAUUCUUGUGAAGUCAUAGUAUAUUGUUUAAUCUGGGGUUUACUCCGGUGUCAAGUGUACUAUAUUGCUAGAUUUAACUUUAAUCUACGCGAGUUGCUCUGUAGCUAUUUCAGCAUAAAUGGUUCAUCAUACUAGGAUUUAAUUAGUGAUCUAACUUCUGUUGCUUCUUGGUGAAUAUGAAAUAUAUUGCGUUUUCAUGGAAGCAGGAGCAGAGUAGUUGUGGAGCGGGUCGUGGGAGAGACGGUUGGUUAGCAUGGGCUGGACGGGAAGGUGAUGCUUGCGAUGGCGACCAAGCCGGCGGGCAAGGCAGGGGCGACCAUGGCCAUCGGGGUGUUUUCAAGGGAGAGCGAGGCAACCGCCAUCACGCAACUGAAGAAGUUGAAACCCGGGGCGAAGUUGGUCAUCAUGGCCAGCAUGAAAGUUGACAAACCUAAAUGCCGGUGAUAGGUUCGCUGCUGUCGCGCCGUCUUUAAACUUGGUGGAGACGCAGAAGCAGUGGCAGAGCUAGGAUCAAGCCACGACCCGGGCAAGCCCCAGGCCAAUCACUUGGUACAAUGCUAAACAGUGUAAAAUCCGCUACAGUAAACAAGCCUGAGGACCUAGGCCGCCGCCUGGGCAGCUUGGGGCUUGUCUCCGCCACUGCGCAGAAGGAGAGCGGUGGCGCUGUGAAGACCUCGAUGACUGCUGCCAUGACCACGACCAUGACGAUUGUGUUGGUAAUAAAGAUACUAAUUGUAUACAAAUCCCCCAGCUUCGAAAACAUUAGAUUAUCCAACUUAUUAUUCAAAUUUUUGAUUCAAGAUAAAUGGAAAUUUCCUAUAUACAAUGAGCUUAUUAUUGAAGGUUGCAUCGAUUAUGUUAUUAUUACUGAAAUAAGAGGCUUAUGAAUUUUUCAAUCUUUGUGUAUCUUGUAAUAGUGACUGCCAAUCUUUGUGUACCUUGUAAUAGUGACACAUGGAUGCGUGAAGUUGAGUGAUACUUUCUCUGUAAAGAAAUACAAGUGUUUAGAUCACUAUAAUCUAAACACUUAUAUUUCUUUACAGUGAGAAUACUAAUACUAUUUAUAAAUGGAUGAUAUAUAUCCAGUUAUAAGUUCUCGGGUGGCGAGCGAUUUGGCUGCUUAAGGAGAUAGGAAGAUUGCCGAGAAGGAAAAAAAGUGAAAGAGAAUUUAUAUUUGUCGUUGCAUGAUGAAAACUGGAUGUAACCGCUUAACCCGUACUUCUAAAUUAGAAGAAUAAUUUGAUCAAUGUGUCCAUAUUUUUACUAUUCCGUGGCAACGCAUGGGUAUUUUGCUUUUACCAGUAGCAACGCACAUGCAUUCUACUAGAGGUCAUCUCUCAUACGCUUCAGUUUUCACAUAGGCGUGCUAAGGAUCCAGAAAAUUACGAUCAUCUUGAUGUGAAAAGAGUCACUCUACUACAUUAUCUUAUAUCAUGGUUUUUAGGGUUCUUAUACCAUGUCGAUAUUCAAACAAAGUGUAGGCUGUGGACAAAAGAUUUGACAUUCUUGAUUUAGACAGUAUGGAGGUGUUUUUCUAUGUUAGCUAUUUCUUUUAUGUCAAAAUUGGCAAUACAAUAUGUGGUCUUAGGAAUCAUGCCGUGCGGAGGGUCAUCAACUCUAGAGAAGGGUAGGGGCAGGGGCAAGGGAGAUGCCUGACGGUGAGGCGGCAUGCCGCAUCGCGGCUGACUGCAGGUGGUGCUGUCAUCAGAGGGUGGUUCUUUUCUAUACAUGUGUAAUUUAACAUGCAUUAUGCUUAUAUAUAACUCAAGUAAAAUAUUUUAAAUGCCCGUGGCAACGCACGGGCAGUCUACUAGUAUUCAUAAUGUUGAAGCCAAAAGAUGCAGAGUUGAUAAUGAUAGUGCAACUUAUUUGUGGCACUACCGUUUAGGUCAUAUUGGUGUAAAGCAUGAAGAAACUCCAUUUUGAUGGACUUUUGGAAUCACUUGAUUAUGAAUCACUUGGUACUUGCGAACCAUGCCUCAUGGGCAAGAUGACUAAAACGCCGUUCUCCGGAACUAUGGAGCGAGCAACAGAUUUGUUGAAAAUCAUACAUACUGAUGUAUGUGGUCCGAUGAAUGUUGAGGCUCGCGGCGGGUAUCAUUAUUUUCCCACCUUCACAGAUGAUUUGAGCAGAUAUAGGUAUAUCUACUUGAUGAAACAUAAGUCUAAAACAUUUGAAAAGUUCAAAGAAUUUCAGAGUGAAGUGGAAAAUCAUUGUAACAAAAAAAAAA
RNAcentral lists this long non-coding RNA (3425 nucleotides) under Triticum aestivum (bread wheat). Its description in RNAcentral is "long non-coding RNA (TAES_LNC010246)". Lineage: Eukaryota; Viridiplantae; Streptophyta; Magnoliopsida; Poales; Poaceae. The record is from RNAcentral.